This 460-nucleotide ribosomal RNA is filed under the name uncultured bacterium. RNAcentral describes it as "partial 16S ribosomal RNA". It matches the Rfam family "Bacterial small subunit ribosomal RNA", at positions 338 to 795 of the family's 1533-position model. The record is from RNAcentral.
CCUACGGGUGGCAGCAGUGAGGAAUAUUGGUCAAUGGGCGUAAGCCUGAACCAGCCAAGUCGCGUGAGGGAUGAAGGUUCUAUGGAUCGUAAACCUCUUUUAUAAGGGAAUAAAGUGUGGGACGUGUCCUAUUUUGUAUGUACCUUAUGAAUAAGGAUCGGCUAACUCCGUGCCAGCAGCCGCGGUAAUACGGAGGAUCCGAGCGUUAUCCGGAUUUAUUGGGUUUAAAGGGUGCGUAGGCGGCCUUUUAAGUCAGCGGUGAAAGUCCGGGGCUCAACCAUAGGAGUGCCGUUGAAACUGGGGGGCUUGAGUAGGUGUGAGGCAGGCGGAAGGCGUGGUGUAGCGGUGAAAUGCUUAGAUAUCACGCAGAACCCCGAUUGCGAAGGCAGCAUGCCAGGCGAUGACUGACGCUGAUGCACGAAAGCGUGGGUAUCGAACAGGAUUAGAUACCCUUGUAGUC